GGUUUUCGGGGAAACUUGUUUUUGGUUCAAAUGUGGAAAAUUCUUCAAGUGGAAAACAAAAAGCUGCCUCAAAGGAGAACAAUGAAGAUUCUGUUCCGAAGGCUGAAGCAAAAUUCCAAGCAUUCACAGGGAAGAAGUAUUCACUGAAAGACUAAAUCUAGUUCCUCCAUUUGCUCCUUGUUUUAUGAAUCUCUACUUAUUUUAGUUAUUUUCUGGAGUGAGGCAUUCCUUGGAUUCUGAAAAUCCUCUCUCGAUGCAAGUAGAGGUUCUUGAUAUUUUGGAUAAGCUGUAAAUUCAAUUGACUUGUACAUAAACCACGACUCUCUACUACUAUUGCAGCUCCAUAAAAUCCCAAAGGUUAGAAAGUACGAUAAUUCAAGUUGUGGAGCACAUAAUCUUCCUUUAUUGAACUUCUUC
This is a non-coding RNA of Coffea arabica (coffee), 417 nucleotides long. The record is from RefSeq and is a predicted model, not a curated record. NCBI's taxonomy places the organism in Eukaryota, Viridiplantae, Streptophyta, Magnoliopsida, Gentianales, Rubiaceae.